Molecule: ribosomal RNA, 448 nt
Filed under: uncultured bacterium
Lineage: Bacteria
Description: SSU rRNA
Rfam family: Bacterial small subunit ribosomal RNA
Source: RNAcentral
AGAACGAACGCUGGCGGCAGGCUUAACACAUGCAAGUCGAACGCUCGUAGCAAUACGGGAGUGGCAGACGGGUGAGUAACGCGUGGGAACAUACCCUCCGGUUCGGAAUAGCUCAGGGAAACUUGGAUUAAAUACCGGAUACGGCCGAGAGGCGAAAGAUUUAUCGCCGGAGGAUUGGCCCGCGUUCGAUUAGCUAGUUGGUGAGGUAACGGCUCACCAAGGCGAUGAUCGAUAGCUGGUCUGAGAGGAUGAUCAGCCACAUUGGGACUGAGACACGGCCCAAACUCCUACGGGAGGCAGCAGUGGGGAAUAUUGGACAAUGGGCGCAAGCCUGAUCCAGCCAUGCCGCGUGAGUGAUGACGGCCUUAGGGUUGUAAAGCUCCUUCGCUCGGGACGAUAAUGACGGUACUGAGAUAAGAAGCCCGGCUAACUUCGUGCCAGCAGCCGC